UGGCCGUGGUUCUGUGGGUCAUGGGCUGCUCUUUUCUAAACAAAUGUAUGUACCUCAAGCUUCAGCAACUGAUUCAGCUUUAGCAGCUGAAUGCUGAGACACCAAGGGUUCGUUUCAAUUGGCUUGCUUGAGAAAGCACUGGGAAGGAAAGCAGUUUCACUGACUUAUUGGGUUGUAUGGUGCAUGUUGGUAUUUUAUGCCACCCAAAUCCCCAACACAAAAACACUGUCCCAGUCUUAUUCCAGGGAAGCACCUGUAGAAACCCCUGUGAUGACAUUUACUGCUCUGUUGGGCUCUUCCACUUUCCAGCUAUUUUUGACUGCUGCAGGGACUGGCCACAGAAGAAAGAGCGGAUUCAUUCCUUCAGCCUAAGAUCUUGCAGAAACAACAGUAAAAUGAAAGACUGUGGAGAAUAGAAGUGACAGAAACUGGAGAGAGGGGUUCAAGGAAGUAUUUUCAGAUGGUGUUCACUUACUUCUGGUAUUUUCCAUUGUAGGUUUUUUCUAGAUCUUUUUCCAUUACUGAAUAUACAAAAACAGUCAUUGCUUAAGAAUUAAACUAAUCCAAUAAAAGUUAUACACUUGGCUGCUUUC
Neopsephotus bourkii (Bourke's parrot) is the source of this 593-nucleotide long non-coding RNA. RefSeq lists it as uncharacterized. The transcript is spliced from 2 exons. The record is from RefSeq and is a predicted model, not a curated record. Lineage: Eukaryota; Metazoa; Chordata; Aves; Psittaciformes; Psittacidae.